Chelonia mydas (Green sea turtle) is the source of this 5690-nucleotide long non-coding RNA. RefSeq lists it as uncharacterized. NCBI's taxonomy places the organism in Eukaryota, Metazoa, Chordata, Testudines, Cheloniidae. The transcript has 6 exons. The record is from RefSeq and is a predicted model, not a curated record.
AUUCCUCUUUGGAAGCUCUGUUUAAGCAUAACAAACUGCAUGUAUGUGCAUCCCAACAGCAUGCCUGUCUGUGGGGAUAGGAACACAGGAUCUUCAGCUCUAAAAAACUAGACUGCUACAGCCUGAGCUAAGGAAGAAUUCUGCUAACUCUCUGAUACCAGAAGCUGGAUGGAAUGGUGUCCUCUGGACCUUUCUUAUAUAGGAUGGGGAAAGAAAGGACUGCCUCAAGCUGAAUUCCAGGUGCCAAAUCUUCUGGGUUUUCAUUCCUGUGGUGGUGGGCUUUUCUUUCAGGCUGGCCACAUGUGGUGUGUGGAUUGCUGGUGCUGUUUGGGAUCUCAUAUCAAAUGCUGCUACCUAAUCCCAGACGGGCCUUGGCGGGCCCACACCUGCAGCUGAUUGAAUCCUCCCGGAGUACAAAGGCCUGAUUUACAGCAUCAAGGAUACAGGGCCUGGUUGCAGCUGGGCUCCAGCAGGAAAAGGAAGUUGUUCAUCAUCUUGUGUGCAUUUCAUUAACAAUAGUGUACCCGAUAUGUAGCUUAUACAAUAAUUUCAAAUCACUGACAGAGAGCAUUAUGGUAUUUGGCAUUACUAGGAAAAAUACUUCAGGAUGGGCAAAUUAAAUGUGAGCGUGAGGUUUUUGUGUGACCCAGAGAAGUUACACAAGCUGAUUUACACUACAUUGGCUAGUCUUGAAAUAUUUCCGUCUUCCUUUAUCUUUGCCCCAUUUCUUUCCCUUUGUCUGUCGAGCAGACUGACAUAGCACAGUGAGCAUUAAUGUAUAGGAAUGAGGGUAAGACACCCAACUCAAAGUUAAAGCCCUUUUUUUCUGGCGCAAGAAUGACAAUGUAGAUAACAUGAUUGUUGUGCUUAACAUAGAAUUUAUAGUAUAGAAAAUUCACAUAGAAAUUAGAUGUGGGAUACCAAUUGCCUGAUCUGGUUGAGAUGCUAAGUGACCUAAAUUCCCGUGAAUUCCAUAGGAGUUGUGGGUGCUCAGCAUCUUACAGGGGGCAUCUGGCACAUGCUACCACUGGGCAGCCUUUCAAUGUAGUCAUUUUUGAAACACUUGUGAGUAACCACUCAAUAACUUGGCUCAACUCAGAGGAGCAAUUUUUAUUUUUGAUGUUGUUUCUCUUAUAGUAUUCAAUUGUAAUCCCCUUUAUUGAGCUGCCUUGCCAUUUUUAAAUGGAAAAUAAACAUUGCCGAACAACCUUUUCAGAACACGAGGUCCUCUUUCCCACUGGAGCCUGAUAAAACUCUACUAUGUGGGCUUGGGGAAACCACUCCUUCAGUCUUUCAUACCCAGAAGGCACAAAGUCUUCAUGUUUUAUUAAACAGCUUCUAGAACUUCGUCCACAGUUUCUCAGAAACAAGCAGUUUGAUGGCUAACUAGUACUAUUUGCACAAAAAUUAUUGCACUUCUAAAAUUACAGACACAAAAAUCAUUCAUUUUUUAAAGCUGAGUUGAAGCCAAUUGAAAAAAAAAAUUCAUCACAUUUUUUAUUUUCUGAGGUUCUAGCAAUCUUCUAGCCGUGAGGUUCUAGCAUGGAUUUGAUGCUACUAGACUAGACAAGACAAGCAAAUGUGAAAAACACAAGACUCCCUUGUUGACUUUAUGGUCAGGAAAUUUUAUUUUGUAUACAUUUCUCAAAAACAAUGGGGAAAAAUAAUUAAAGCAACAUUUUUUUAUUACCUACAGAAUUUUAAAUGCUAUCUACAUGGGGUAGGGCCUACAAUCCAGAUGAUUUCUAGAUUUUACUGAUGAGUCAAAAGUACUGUUGCUUUAAGGAAGACCUAUUUUAACGGUGCAUUUACAAUAUAGCAUAGUAAAAUAGAACAUUUUUGACAUCUUUAAUGUGGAAAAGGAAUGCUUAUAUUUUCUUUACUACUUCUAUAUUUCAUGCUUCCAGUAUUAUAAUUUGUGUAAGUGAACAUAUUGUCCAGUGGAACAAUUCUUUCUAUUUGACUCCUACAUCUUGGCAUUUCCAAAGGCAUCAUUUACCCAGUUGACAAAAGUAGCACCAGUCUCUGCUUUGUGCUGGCAGAGAGAGUUCAUAAACACUUGCCCAACUGCUCUUCCUUGAAGGGUGUCAUUUCUGUAAUUAUGGCAUCAAUUCAUGUGACGUUAGGUUUCCCCUUGCUCCCUUAUUCUGGAUAUCUAACCUUCAUAGCUGUGAACACUACUUUCGGGUAACAUACUGUCUCUGUAGCAUCAGUAAGCUUCAUUAUCUUGCCUUGGUCCCCUGAGAGGGAUGUGUGUGCAAUCUACAAUGCCCAUUUAAUUUUGUGUGGGAUCUGCCUAUCCCUAGGAAGCUAACGUUUUUUGUGUCCUUGUGGGUCAUAUUUUAUGAAGUCCCCUAGGAACUCAGAGAAAAAAGACUAGCUGGUGCAAGUUCUGUCCCUCAUGUGCUUGUGAAAGGAACCAGUGGCAAGGAUGUUCAGUGCAGUGGUACCCUGAAUUGUAUGGAUAUGGUUAUUAACGCUUCCAGGUAAACUGGCACUUCUCUGUCCUGUGCCUCACAAGAAGUUCAUCUGAAGCACACAGACCUUGUAAAGAAAGUAAAAAGGACCUUCUUUUAUGAGCCUCAGCCUCCUUUUCUGUUAUCAUUCCCUGAGUUGUUUCGUGAUAUACAUUACAGGUGCAACAUAGUCAAGUGCAAUCACUAAAAUUCUCACUGUUAUUGUGGCUUGUCCUAGAUACCCAGCCCCAACCCUUUCCACCUGCUCUCAUUUGCUCUCCCAGUUCCUGUCCUGACUCUUCUCCUUCACUGUACUAAUUCUAUAAAUCUGUCCCCUCCCAGAGACAAGUUUCUUUACCCAGCGUGCUGCCUGUUUUCAGGGUUCACUGACAGCAGAGCAACCAACAAGGGACUGACGCUUGAGUACCUUAAGUUAUGACUAAGCCAGGAGGCACCCCUCUGAUCUGUGUAACGUUUGAGCACCUUGAAGCCUCCACUUUUGAAAGUGCUUUUUAGGUUUGCUGGGCCAUGUUCCUGCCUCGCUCUCUGGAAGUGCUCAAGCUACUGGGCUCUCAGAACAUUUGGGAAUGAAUGACUGAACAGCAGCUUUGAAAAUCUCCUCGGGGAUUGAAUUCCGCUUGCUGCCCCAGGUGGGCAUCCAAAUGGCUAUUUGCUGCGGCUCCAAGCUUUUGAAAAUUUGGGCCUAAUGCAGUAAGAAAUAGGAAGAAUGAACAGAGGCUUCCCCAGGUUGGGUUCCCUGACUUCCAUGAAAGGGAUGAACACAGGAGGAAUUGUUCUAUAUUUCUGGAUUCUUGAAAUAUGAAACUAAUUGAGGGCUGGAACAAAUCCAUUCAAAUUGUCUGUAAAAAUAAUUUCCCCUGAAUAGUUAUCCAUCUAGUAUCAUUGCUUAUACAGUUGUAAAAAACAUUUAGCACUUUAUAAUCCAAUCUUUGCUCCUAUGAGGGCCUGGGAACAUAUUCUACUUACAAAAUUUUGAAAUGCCUAGAAAAGUAACAACUUUUACAAAGUGUUCCUCGUGGAAAUCACUUGGAGCCUCUCCAAGAUGGCAUUCCAGAUGUUAUGGCUUUAGCAGUUAUAGAAAUGCACUAUAUUUCCAGAUCCUACACAUAGUAUAUUACUUCUAUGUGAUAGCAUCAUCAUUUUGACCCAGGGAUGAAGUUCUUGAAUUAUUGUUCAUCUCUGGAUAUGGAAGAUGGGGUUUUUGGAAGCAUUCAGUAGUGAUCUAACUCUGCUUCCACUAAAGUCAAUGAAAGACUUAUGCUGACAUUAGUGGGACAGUUAGGCAAAUUCUGUGUGCUUUUGAAAAUCCCACCCAUAGUCUCCGUUCAGUUAUGUAUAGCAUGCGAUUCCCUGUAAUAGGCUGGUCAUGACCUCUCUUUGCACUCUAAUUAUUUAUUAAGGUAUUAACUUAUCUGUAAGUGGUUUAAGGCAUGACCAUUGUCUUUUGUAUGUCUGUAGUGCCAAGACUGUGGUGCUGCAUUCACAAUAUAUUAAUUGUAAAUAAUACAAAAACACCUCAUCAGAACUAUAGUACUGGCACUAAAGAAAACACACAUCAAAAUGGGCCAAAUUCUGCUGUCCUUCCUCUCCUCAGUAAAUUAGUAAUUAUUGGAAUUACUGCCAUGAGUUAAAGUGAUCAAGGUUUGACCCAUUAUAUCAAACACAGUGGGGUCCUGGUCCAUGACUGAGUGCUAUCGCAAUGCAAGUAAUAAAAUAAGUGACACCUAAAACCUGGAUUCAGGGUGAUAUUCACCUCUGUGCAGUAGACCAGCACAAGACCAAUGCAUCACUUAUUUAUUAUUUGUAUUAUUAUAGUGCCUAGGAGCCCUGAUCAUACACCAGGACCCCAUUGUGCUAGUUGCUGUACAAACAGAGAACAAAAAGAUGAUCUGUGGCUCAACGAGUUGCAAUCUAAGUAUCAGACAAGAGACAACAGACAGGUGGAUACAGACAGAUGGGGAAGCACAAAUAAUGCUACUGAUAUGCUGAGGCUUUAAGUGGGAAAUUACUGGUGCAUGAGUCUUGUAUUGGUUAUCUGCAAGAAGGUGAAUUUCACUCUAAGAGCUUAUAUACGAUUUAAAUUGUGCCUAGGGCCUCUGUGAGCCCUCUGAACUUGGGUCUUUUCUUACAAGCUGUGCAUUUUAAAAUAAGACCAAGCACACACAACUGCAAAUAUCUCCCUCAUAAUUCUAUCAAGAGCAAUUCUUUCUUUAAAGAGUCUGCAUGUUGAUUAGCUGGACAAUGAAGGAGGAGAACAGCAAGAGGUUUUUUGGUGCUACGUUACUGUUUUUUUUCUACUUAGUGUAAAAUUCACAAAGAAGCCCACACAAGGCCUCAUGCAAAGCUUAGACUGCAUUUUCCCCUCUCUUUUUAUUUCUAUAAUUUUCCGUUAGGUUUCCAAAAAGCUGAGAACUCUACUUUCAAUCAGCUAUCUGCUGCAGAAUGUCUCAUCUUUCAGUGCUGCGUUUUGAAAAAAGAAAAAGAGAGAGAAAAAGAGAGAGAGAGAAUGAAAAAAAAAUCUAAAGAGGAAAUUAUUGCUUUUCAAACACUCUUUUAUGGAGGGUAAUGCCUCUUCUAAUGGGAGCGCUGGGUUGAAUUAUUCAGAAUUUGCUGAUGCUCUAUCAUUUGUUUUUUCUAGGAAGAGGGAGCCAUUGAGAGGAGUAGAAAAUUUCCAUGGGAUUGUUGAUGGUAAAAUACCAUCAUUUGAAGAUCUUUCGUCUCAAGUAGGGUUCUGAUCGUUCUUUGUGCACACUUGAUGGAUUGAACUGGCCCUCCCUGGAUUUGAUGUACUUGAGCUGAACUCCUAGGAGCUCCUGACUGACUGAAAUAUAAAACCAAGAGCCUGACCACUCCGUGGUCAUUAAAGAUCUCAAGACACUUUUCAGAGCAUCGGGGCAUUAACUACAGCUUUUGAUUUCUCUAAUCAGUUUGUUUGAAUUAAAGCUCAGUUCUCAUCUAUAGGGAGCAGAAACAACUUUCUUAACUGGAUGGCUUCUUUACACCACAACCAUGCAAUGCAUGUGUGAGAGUCCUUGACUGGGACCAUAUUUGUGCCUUUUAUCAGGAACUAUACCCGUUUAUUAAACUAUUUUAAAGUACCUUUGGGUACGUGAAUGUUAUUCAGAGCGAAGUCUUCUUUAUCUUGAACAUUGGCAUUUGGUCAUAGAAGUAAGGAAACCACAGCUCUUAGCAGAGUCUUCUACUAAUGGAGAU